UACGUAGGAUGCAAGCGUUGUUCGGAAUUACUGGGCGUAAAGAGUACGUAGGCGGUUUGAUAAGUCUGCUAUUAAAGCCUGGAGCUUAACUCCAGGACUGUAGUGGAAACUGUCAGACUAGAGGAUAAUAGAGGAAGUCGGAAUUCUCAGUGUAGCGGUGAAAUGCGUAGAUAUUGGGAAGAACACCAGUGGCGAAAGCGGACUUCUGGGUUGUUACUGACGCUGAGGUACGAAAGCGUGGGGAGCAAACGGG
Molecule: ribosomal RNA, 253 nt
Filed under: uncultured bacterium
Lineage: Bacteria
Description: partial 16S ribosomal RNA
Rfam family: Bacterial small subunit ribosomal RNA
Source: RNAcentral